AGGCCUCAGGAAACACAGUCAUGGCAGAAGGCAAAGAGGAAGCAGGCACAUCUCACAUGUCCAGAGCAGGAUGAAAGGUCUCAUGAGAACCCACUCACUAUGGUGACGAAGGAGGAUGAUGCUAACCACUCCAGUGAUCCAACCACCUCCCACCAGGACCCACCUCCAACACGGGGGAUUACAACUGAACAUGAACGCAGAGCCAAACCAUAUCACUAGCUCUGCCUGGAGACAUUAGAGACAGGUUCCCAGCGGGGAGGCUUCCUUAGCCCAGAGAUGAAUUAAGAACAGCAUUGACUGGAUGGUGCUGUGGUUUCAAUGUCCCCUCCCGAACUCACAUCAAAACUUCAUCACUAGUGUGGCAGUGUCCUUUCAGAGGUAGUGGGAUCAUGAAAGCUCUGCCCUCAGGAGUAGAUUAAUCCAUUCAUGAACUAAUGGGUUAAGGGAUCAGUGUGGUAUAAAGACGAACUAAGACCUGAGCUGGCACAUUAGCACACUCAGUCCCUCUCCAUGUGACACCCUACACCACCGCAGGACACUGUUUAGUCCCCACCACCAAGAAGCCUCUCACCAGAUGCAGCACCUUGGAUUUCUCGGCCUCCAGAGCUGUAAGAAAUAAAUUCCUUAUAAACAACCCACUUUCAGGCAUUCUGCUAUAAGCAGCAGAAAACGGACUAAUACACACGCCUUGUCUCCAACUAGAAGCUCCUCCACCCACUAAUUAUGGACUGUUUUACUACUUGGCUUCCAGGAGGGAGGGAACUGUAUGAAAAGAACAGAGAUGCAUAACUACAUACAGAAAUGGUUCCCAAGGGGGCUGAGAGCUGUGUUAAAUGUGAGCUUUAAAUGUUUUUUAAUGAUUUUUAUCCUCAGAAAACUUGGUUCAAAUGCAGUCUUGCUGGAUGCAUUUGCUGGGUGUCCAACAAGUGAAACAAAUGAAAAUAAUUAUUACCCUGGGGCUUCACUGACUGAGAGUGAAGGAGGCUUUGGCUGCUGGAAAUGUGGAGGACCCCAGAGACCCUCUGCGGCAGUGGUUCCCAGUGUUUUGUCUUUGUUCUUCAAGCAGCAUAAUCAUUCCUUUAAACAACAUUUUAGGUGAACAUGUGAAGCGGGGUAACCCCAAACUCUGCCCACCUAUCUCCAGGGACAGUCUAGAGCUCUGGGGGCCUGGGUGAGCAUCUCUGACCUAGACCAACCAAAGAUCUUAACCAGACCCAGAGAGCAGCCACAGCUAAUAUGGGCAGGGUGACAGAGAGGAUAACCUGUCACGUGUAUGCUUCCCCACACCUGAGGCUCCAGCAUGCAUGAGAGAGAGCCCUGAGAGACACGCUAUGGAUCAUAUAACAAUCCUGAAACAAAAGAGAUGCAGAGAACUUAUUCCACAUGUCAAUGUUAAAGGACGCAGAGAACUUAUUUCAGAUGUCACUGUUAAAUGAACCAUGGUGGCAGUUUCUGCCCAUCAGGUUCCCAUAUGUAGAGACUAAUGAAAUUCCCCUACCCGAAGCUCUAGAAAAGUUCAAGAUCCACACCAUCUGGGAAGGGUGAAAGCUGCAUUGAAGUCUUCUUAGGAGCAGGAGGAGCACUCAGCCCUCGGGGCCCAGGACUGUGGAGAGGACGGGGCGCCCGCUGGCUGUGUCACCACAGCACACCCCGGGCUUCCAGGAACAGGAAGGGAGCUAAAGAUGGGUCAGCACAAAUAUUGAAUUCACACUAUAUGCUGUGGCCUGCAACAGAUACUGAGGAUGCCAGCAUGGAUAUGAGACCCAGUAAUUAGCCUGGAAGAGCAGAGAAUGUACUGAGGGAUGAUUUGUAACAAUACAACUGCUAUGUUAUGUUCUCCUGCUAUAACAGAGGCAAGAGCUCAGUGUUCUGGGGAUGCAGGCGAGGAAUUGUGUGGCCUGGAUAAAUCUAGGAAGACUUCAUGGAAGAUGACGCAUUUAAGCUAGAUCUUGAAGAAAGAUAGCAAGCUUUCUGUCUAGUGUAAGGGAAACUCAUUUCAGUCUGCAGAAACAGUGUAAGCUGGGGUGUGGAGGAUGAGAGAUGAGGGCAGCUGGUCCAGGCAGACAACAGAACCAGUGAGAGCAGCGGUUGCUGCUACUGUAUCACCCCCCUUGGCAGUAGUAUGGCCCUGACUGCUGAGAGGCAGGCCAGCUCAGGGGCGUCUCGACUCCCCAAACCAGUGCUGAACAUUCCCUGAUCAACCUGGCUACCAAACCUUCUUCUGAAAAUGAGAAGUAGCUUGUUAACUAUCAGAGCUUUCUCACAUAAGAAUGGGCUUCAGGAGAGGUAGUGAGGUCCCUGUGGGAGGAGGUAUGUAAGUAAAAGUGAUAGGAUAGGCCCUUUUUUCCAGGCUGUGGUAGAAGGGAGGUUUGGGACCAAAGAAGGUUGGCCUAACAUACCCCGCUCAGUUUUCUUCCAGAGCUAAGAGGCCAUGAUUCCCUUUGAAAGUAGAAUUUCCUGUUCUUCUAUGAGGAAUGGAAAAACAUGUCUAGAGAGGUUAAGUGACUUGCCCCAGGCUACAAAGAAAGCUAUCCGAAUCAUUGUCCAAACAUUUCACUUGCUACAAUCUGAUCUCAAGUGGACUUUUAGACAGGUGAGAACAGAUGCUGGCUCUUCUAUCUCGGCAACCUCUUUACCAAUUCUGCAAGCAUCAGACAGCAGCUGGAUCAUACAUACAUAUGCCUCACGUACGCAGCUUCAGCUCUGCCAAGCAGGGCCAUGCCCAAAUGUGAGCAUAAUAUGUUUAUGUGGACCUUGAGCAAGACACUGUGAGUUGAGUCCUGACUUCACAACUGCAAGCAGGAGGUCACAGAAGCUUUGCAGAUAAAAUGUUAAUCUCAUACCUUGGCCCAUAUCAACACAUGCUAAUCAGAUGGGUCAGGCUGUGCCGUUUCCCUCUGCAAGCGGGACUUGUUGUGACUAAUUGAGGGGUUUGUAGUGAACAUGUCCCUUUACCUCCUGCAGUCCUGGCAUCCUAAAGCAAACCUUGGAUCUAUCAACACCAGUGAUACCGAGAAGCCGAUAUUCUCUUCACUCUGUUCUCCUUCCCAGCAGCCAUCACGCCUCUGGGCUACAAUCCUGCCUCCAGAAGUCCCAGCUCAAUUCACAAAGAUGUUCUGGGAAGGAAGUCAAUCUUCCCAAAGUUCUUGAGAGCCUGGGACAUGCCAUUUGCGCAGAACUCUAGAGUAUGCAACGUGGCUUCACACACAUCACUCCAUUCGGACCCAGGGCUCUGGUACAGGUGUCAUCCAAACCUUCUACUGCACACACGUAGCAAAGCGAGGCCCAGGGGUGAUGCCCUCUUGAAGUCACAGAGAGAAUAAGUGGAGCAGCAAGAAAUCGCAGCUCAGUUUUCUGACCCUGAAGCCUGGGUUCUCUUCUGCAUAUACCAGAUGGCCUGAAUCCCAUAUAGAUCUGAUUAGUAUCAGCCACAUGGUAGGCAAUGCUUGUUGCACUGAAGUCAGCCAUUAGAAUGUCGUCACUUUGAGGUAAGUCAUUGACACAUCCAGUAAGCUACUUUUUAGGAUUAUUCUUAGGGAAAAAAAACAGAGCCUGAAGAAAACAGAAUUUUCACCCACUUAUUAUGAGAGCUAGGAGAAGUUCAGAGGCAAGACAGAGUGAAAGGAAACUACCUUUGUCUCAGGAAGCCUGGAGUUGGAAAGGAAGACAAGGAUGUGGACAAGGGAAAAGCAGGGAAGGGAGAAGGGAAUACA
This 3713-nucleotide long non-coding RNA is filed under the name Homo sapiens (human). RNAcentral's name for it is "HSALNT0345540". The record is from RNAcentral. Lineage: Eukaryota; Metazoa; Chordata; Mammalia; Primates; Hominidae.